CAUGAGAGGUCCAGCCUGCCCAGUGACAAAGUUCAACGGCCGCGGUACCCUAACCGUGCAAAGGUAGCAUAAUCACUUGUUCUUUAAAUAAGGACUCGUAUCAACGGCACCACGAGGGUCACACUGUCUCCUUUUUCCAAUCAGUGAAACUGAUCUCCCCGUGAAGAAGCGGGGAUACAACCAUAAGACGAGAAGACCCCAUGGAGCUUUAAACUAAACAGCAACUCAAUUAUAUAUCCCCCCCCCACCCACAGAGACAUGCCUGCUAGUUUUAGGUUGGGGCGACCGCGGAGCACAAAACAACCUCCAUGACGAAAAGAACUAAAUCUUAACCCCAGAGCCACCGCUCUAAGAAUCAGCACACUAACGAACAAUGACCCGACUAUCGAUCAACGAACCAAGUUACCCUGGGGAUAACAGCGCAAUCUACUCCAAGAGUCCCUAUCGACAAGUAGGCUUACGACCUCGAUGUUGGAUNCAGGGUACCCAAGUGGUGCAGCCGCUACUAACGG
RNAcentral lists this ribosomal RNA (512 nucleotides) under Theloderma moloch (black-spotted frog). RNAcentral's name for it is "partial 16S ribosomal RNA". It matches the Rfam family "Bacterial large subunit ribosomal RNA", at positions 1844 to 2571 of the family's 2925-position model. The record is from RNAcentral. Lineage: Eukaryota; Metazoa; Chordata; Amphibia; Anura; Rhacophoridae.